This 404-nucleotide long non-coding RNA is filed under the name Lactuca sativa (garden lettuce). RNAcentral's name for it is "long non-coding RNA (LSAT_LNC009993)". Lineage: Eukaryota; Viridiplantae; Streptophyta; Magnoliopsida; Asterales; Asteraceae. The record is from RNAcentral.
CACGACGAGAUAAAAACAAUCGCCGGAGAAAGAAAAGUCAAUGAGAAAGACGUCGAGAAAAUGCCAUAUCUAAACGCCGUCGUAAAGGAACUACUCAGAAGACACCCUCCAACUUAUCUGUCUUUGACUCAUUCCGUCAUCGAACCUGCAAAACUCGCCGGAUACGAUAUACCCACGGGGACCAACGUGGAGAUAUAUCUUCCCGGAAUCAGUGAGGAUCCAAAACUAUGGAACAACCCGAAUAAAUUCGAUCCGGAUAGGUUUCUUACCGGAGGAGAAACAGCAGACAUAACAGGUGUUACCGGAUUAAAGAUGAUCCCCUUCGGAGUAGGACGGCGGAUAUGUCCGGGGCUGGGGAUGGCGACGCUGCAUGUGAGCCUGAUGAUCGCUCGGAUGGUUCAGGA